RNAcentral lists this ribosomal RNA (253 nucleotides) under uncultured bacterium. RNAcentral's name for it is "partial 16S ribosomal RNA". It matches the Rfam family "Bacterial small subunit ribosomal RNA", at positions 524 to 776 of the family's 1533-position model. The record is from RNAcentral.
UACGGAGGGUGCGAGCGUUGUCCGGAAUCACUGGGCGUAAAGGGCGCGUAGGUGGCUUGGUAAGCGUGUGGUGAAAGCUCGGGGCUCAACCCCGAGUCGGCCAUGCGAACUGCCGAGCUUGAGCACUGUAGAGGCAGACGGAAUUCCGGGUGCAGCGGUGGAAUGCGUAGAGAUCCGGAAGAACACCAGUGGCGAAGGCGGUCUGCUGGGCAGUUGCUGACACUGAGGCGCGACAGCGUGGGGAGCAAACAGG